AGAUUGAACGCUGGCGGCAGGCUUAACACAUGCAAGUCGAGCGGUAACAGAGAAUAGCUUGCUAUUUUGCUGACGAGCGGCGGACGGGUGAGUAAUGCUUGGGAAUAUGCCUUAUGGUGGGGGACAACAGUUGGAAACGACUGCUAAUACCGCAUAACGUCUACGGACCAAAGGGGGGGAUGCUUCGGCACCUCUCGCCAUUUGAUUAGCCCAAGUGAGAUUAGCUAGUUGGUGAGGUAAAGGCUCACCAAGGCGACGAUCUCUAGCUGGUUUGAGAGGAUGAUCAGCCACACUGGGACUGAGACACGGCCCAGACUCCUACGGGAGGCAGCAGUGGGGAAUAUUGCACAAUGGGCGAAAGCCUGAUGCAGCCAUGCCGCGUGUGUGAAGAAGGCCUUCGGGUUGUAAAGCACUUUCAGUUGUGAGGAAAGGUAUGUAGUUAAUAACUGCAUACUGUGACGUUAGCAACAGAAGAAGCACCGGCUAACUUCGUGCCAGCAGCCGCGGUAAUACGAGGGGUGCAAGCGUUAAUCGGAAUUACUGGGCGUAAAGCGUGCGUAGGUGGUUUGUUAAGCAAGAUGUGAAAGCCCCGGGCUCAACCUGGGAACUGCAUUUUGAACUGGCAGACUAGAGUAUUGUAGAGGGUAGUGGAAUUUCCAGUGUAGCGGUGAAAUGCGUAGAGAUUGGAAGGAACAUCAGUGGCGAAGGCGGCUACCUAGACAAAUACUGACACUGAGGCACGAAAGCGUGGGGAGCAAACAGGAUUAGAUACCCUGGUAGUCCACGCCGUAAACGAUGUCAACUAGCCGUCUGUGGACUUGAUCCGUGGGUGGCGUAGCUAACGCGCUAAGUUGACCGCCUGGGGAGUACGGCCGCAAGGUUA
This 883-nucleotide ribosomal RNA is filed under the name uncultured bacterium. Its description in RNAcentral is "bacterial SSU rRNA". It matches the Rfam family "Bacterial small subunit ribosomal RNA", at positions 26 to 896 of the family's 1533-position model. The record is from RNAcentral.